RNAcentral lists this transfer RNA (85 nucleotides) under Felis catus (domestic cat). It matches the Rfam family "tRNA". Rfam says of the family: Transfer RNA (tRNA) molecules are approximately 80 nucleotides in length. Their secondary structure includes four short double-helical elements and three loops (D, anti-codon, and T loops). Further hydrogen bonds mediate the characteristic L-shaped molecular structure. tRNAs have two regions of fundamental functional importance: the anti-codon, which is responsible for specific mRNA codon recognition, and the 3' end, to which the tRNAs corresponding amino acid is attached (by aminoacyl-tRNA synthetases). tRNAs cope with the degeneracy of the genetic code in two manners: having more than one tRNA (with a specific anti-codon) for a particular amino acid; and 'wobble' base-pairing, i.e. permitting non-standard base-pairing at the 3rd anti-codon position. Lineage: Eukaryota; Metazoa; Chordata; Mammalia; Carnivora; Felidae. The record is from Rfam by way of RNAcentral.
ACCUGGGUGGCUCAGUUGGUUGAGCGUCCGACUUCGGCUCAGGUCAUGAUCUCACAGUUUGUGGGUCCGAACCCCACAUCAGGCU